RNAcentral lists this ribosomal RNA (497 nucleotides) under uncultured bacterium. Its description in RNAcentral is "partial 16S ribosomal RNA". It matches the Rfam family "Bacterial small subunit ribosomal RNA", at positions 28 to 507 of the family's 1533-position model. The record is from RNAcentral.
GAUGAACGCUGGCGGCGUGCUUAAUACAUGCAAGUCGAGCGGACGGACGAUAAUCUUGUUUCUCUCAUGUUAGCCGCGGACGUGAGAGUAACACGUGUAUAACCUACCUAUAAGACUGGUAAAACUUCGGGAAACGGGAUCUAAUCCCGUAUAAUAUUUUGAACCGCAUAGUUCGAUAGUGAAAGACGGCCUUUCUGUCACUUCUAGAUGGAUCCGCGCUGCAUUAUCUAGUUGGUAAGGUAACGGCUUACCAAGGCAACGAUGCAUAGCCGACCUGUGAGGCUGAUCGGCCACACGAGAGCUGGACCACGGUCCAGACGCCUACGGGAGGGCGCAGUAUGGAACGUUACGCAGUAGGCGAAAGCAUGGCGGAGCAACCCCGAGUGAGAGAUGAAGGUCUUCGGAUCGUAAAGCUCUGUUAUUAGGGAAGAACCUAUGUGUACGUAAAUGUGGACAUCUUGACGGUAAUUAAUAAGAAAGCCACGGCUAACUACGUG